UUAAAUUGAAGAGUUUGAUCAUGGCUCAGAUUGAACGCUGGCGGCAGGCCUAACACAUGCAAGUCGAGCGGAAACGAGUUAUCAG
Molecule: ribosomal RNA, 85 nt
Filed under: Vibrio parahaemolyticus
Lineage: Bacteria; Pseudomonadati; Pseudomonadota; Gammaproteobacteria; Vibrionales; Vibrionaceae
Description: partial 16S ribosomal RNA
Rfam family: Bacterial small subunit ribosomal RNA
Source: RNAcentral